GAUGAACGCUGGCGGCGUGCCUAAUACAUGCAGGUCGAGCGAACGGACGAGAAGCUUGCUUCUCUGAUGUUAGCGGCGGACGGGUGAGUAACACGUGGAUAACCUACCUAUAAGACUGGGAUAACUUCGGGAAACCGUAGCUAAUACCGGAUAAUAUUUUGAACCGCAUGGUUCAAAAGUGAAAGACGGUCUUGCUGUCACUUAUAGAUGGAUCCGCGCUGCAUUAGCUAGUUGGUAAGGUAACGGCUUACCAAGGCAACGAUGCAUAGCCGACCUGAGAGGGUGAUCGGCCACACUGGAACUGAGACACGGUCCAGACUCCUACGGGAGGCAGCAGUAGGGAAUCUUCCGCAAUGGGCGAAAGCCUGACGGAGCAACGCCGCGUGAAUGAUGAAGGUCUUCGGAUCGUAAAACUCUGUUAUUAGGGAAGAACAUAUGUGUAAGUAACUGUGCACAUCUUGACGGUACCUAAUCAGAAAGCCACGGCUAACUACGUG
Molecule: ribosomal RNA, 497 nt
Filed under: uncultured bacterium
Lineage: Bacteria
Description: partial 16S ribosomal RNA
Rfam family: Bacterial small subunit ribosomal RNA
Source: RNAcentral